AGGAAUAUUGGUCAAUGGACGAGAGUCUGAACCAGCCAAGUAGCGUGAAGGAUGACUGCCCUAUGGGUUGUAAACUUCUUUUAUACGGGAAUAAAGUGAGGCACGUGUGCCUUUUUGUAUGUACCGUAUGAAUAAGGAUCGGCUAACUCCGUGCCAGCAGCCGCGGUAAUACGGAGGAUCCGAGCGUUAUCCGGAUUUAUUGGGUUUAAAGGGAGCGUAGGCGGACGCUUAAGUCAGUUGUGAAAGUUUGCGGCUCAACCGUAAAAUUGCAGUUGAUACUGGUUCCCUUGAGUGCAGUUGAGGCAGGCGGAAUUCGUGGUGUAGCGGUGAAAUGCAUAGAUAUCACGAAGAACCCCGAUUGCGAAGGCAGCUUACUGGACUGUAACUGACGCUGAUGCUCGAAAGUGUGGGUAUCAAACAGGAUUAGAUACCCUGGUAGUCCACACAGUAAACGAUGAAUACUCGCUGUUGGCGAUACACAGUCAGCGGCCAAGCGAAAGCAUUAAGUAUUCCACCUGGGGAGUACGCCGGCAACGGUGAAACUCAAAGGAAUUGACGGGGGCCCGCACAAGCGGAGGAACAUGUGGUUUAAUUCGAUGAUACGCGAGGAACCUUACCCGGGCUUAAAUUGCAGCGGAAUGUAGUGGAAACAUUACAGCCUUCGGGCCGCUGUGAAGGUGCUGCAUGGUUGUCGUCAGCUCGUGCCGUGAGGUGUCGGCUUAAGUGCCAUAACGAGCGCAACCCUUAUCUAUAGUUACUAUCAGGUCAUGCUGAGGACUCUAUGGAGACUGCCGUCGUAAGAUGUGAGGAAGGUGGGGAUGACGUCAAAUCAGCACGGCCCUUACGUCCGGGGCUACACACGUGUUACAAUGGGGGGUACAGAAGGCAGCUACCUGGCGACAGGAUGCUAAUCCCUAAAACCUCUCUCAGUUCGGAUUGGAGUCUGCAACCCGACUCCAUGAAGCUGGAUUCGCUAGUAAUCGCGCAUCAGCCACGGCGCGGUGAAUACGUUCCCG
Molecule: ribosomal RNA, 1016 nt
Filed under: uncultured bacterium
Lineage: Bacteria
Description: bacterial SSU rRNA
Rfam family: Bacterial small subunit ribosomal RNA
Source: RNAcentral